RNAcentral lists this transfer RNA (74 nucleotides) under Cordylochernes scorpioides. RNAcentral's name for it is "tRNA-Ile". The record is from RNAcentral. Lineage: Eukaryota; Metazoa; Arthropoda; Arachnida; Pseudoscorpiones; Chernetidae.
UGGCCAAUGGGGGGAUCGAAACCACGACCUUCGCGUUAUUAGCACGACGCUUUAACCAACUGAGCUAUUGGGCC